Non-coding RNA from Nipponia nippon (crested ibis), 46 nucleotides. The record is from Rfam. NCBI's taxonomy places the organism in Eukaryota, Metazoa, Chordata, Aves, Pelecaniformes, Threskiornithidae.
CUAUAGGCUCCACUAGGAGCCAUCUCUAUAUAUAGUCACCUUACUG